UACAUAGGUGGCAAGCGUUGGCCGGAAUUAAUGGGCGUAAAGGGCGCGUAGGCGGGCUUCUAAGUCAGAUGUGAAAUCCCUGGGCUUAACUCGGGUAGUGCAUUUGAAACUGGAAGGCUUGAGUGCAGGAGAGGAAAGUGGAAUUCCUAGUGUAACGGUGAAAUGCGUAGAUAUUAGGAGGAACACCAGUGGCGAAGGCGACUUUCUGGACUGUAACUGACGCUGAGGCGCGAAAGCGUGGGUAGCAAACAGG
Molecule: ribosomal RNA, 253 nt
Filed under: uncultured bacterium
Lineage: Bacteria
Description: partial 16S ribosomal RNA
Rfam family: Bacterial small subunit ribosomal RNA
Source: RNAcentral